AGUGAACGCUGGCGGUAGGCCUAACACAUGCAAGUCGAACGGCAGCACAGUAAGAGCUUGCUCUUACGGGUGGCGAGUGGCGGACGGGUGAGGAAUACAUCGGAAUCUACUUUUUCGUGGGGGAUAACGUAGGGAAACUUACGCUACUACCUCAUACGACCUACGGGUGAAUGCAGGGGAUCUUCGGACCUUGCGCGUUUGUAUGAGCCGAUGUCGGAUUAGCUAGUUGGCGGGGUAAAGGCCCACCAAGGCGACGAUCCGUAGCUGGUCUGAGAGGAUGAUCAGCCACACUGGAACUGAGACACGGUCCAGACUCCUACGGGAGGCAGCAGUGGGGAAUAUUGGACAAUGGGCGCAAGCCUGAUCCAGCCAUACCGCGUGGGUGAAGAAGGCCUUCGGGUUGUAAAGCCCUUUUGUUGGGAAAGAAAAGCAGCAGGUUAAUACCCCGCUGUUCUGACGGUACCCAAAGAAUAAGCACCGGCUAACUUCGUG
Molecule: ribosomal RNA, 492 nt
Filed under: uncultured bacterium
Lineage: Bacteria
Description: partial 16S ribosomal RNA
Rfam family: Bacterial small subunit ribosomal RNA
Source: RNAcentral